GAUGAACGCUGGCGGCGUGCCUAAUACAUGCAAGUCGAGCGCACGGACGAGAAGCUUGCUUCUCUGAUGUUAGCGGCGGACGGGUGAGUAACACGUGGAUAACCUACCUAUAAGACUGGGAUAACUUCGGGAAACCGUAGCUAAUACCGGAUAAUAUUUUGAACCGCAUGGUUCAAAAGUGAAAGACGGUCUUGCUGUAACUUAUAGAUGGAUCCGCGCUGCAUUAGCUAGUUGGUAAGGUAACGGCUUACCAAGGCAACGAUGCAUAGCCGACCUGAGAGGGUGAUCGGCCACACUGGAACUGAGACACGGUCCAGACUCCUACGGGAGGCAGCAGUAGGGAAUCUUCCGCAAUGGGCGAAAGCCGGACGGGGCAACGCCGCGUGAGUGAUGAAGGUCUUCGGAUCGUAAGACUCUGUUAUUAGGGAAGAACAUAUGUGUAAGGAACUGUGCACAUCUUGACGGUACCUAAUCAGAAAGCCACGGCUAACUACGUG
RNAcentral lists this ribosomal RNA (497 nucleotides) under uncultured bacterium. RNAcentral's name for it is "partial 16S ribosomal RNA". It matches the Rfam family "Bacterial small subunit ribosomal RNA", at positions 28 to 507 of the family's 1533-position model. The record is from RNAcentral.